GUUGCUCCGGUUGUGGGUGUUAGGAGGAUGACCCACAUUGAUAGAUUAAAGAAUGUGGAGGUGUUUGAAUCCCAUAAGGCGAUGGGGAUUGGUAAUGAGAUGAGCUCCCCGAUGGUGCCUUGUGCGAUCCCUCCAGCGACGAUGGCCUAUAUAUCGUCGGUUGAGUCGGAGUCAUCAGGAAAGGAGAUGCACAUGGCCAUGCAUUCCAAUCUGGCAUAGGAUUGGGAAAAGGAAACAUAUAAGAGUUAUGAUACAUAUAAGGGCUAUGAUAUGC
Molecule: long non-coding RNA, 274 nt
Filed under: Gossypium barbadense (sea-island cotton)
Lineage: Eukaryota; Viridiplantae; Streptophyta; Magnoliopsida; Malvales; Malvaceae
Description: long non-coding RNA (GBAR_LNC003268)
Source: RNAcentral